Molecule: ribosomal RNA, 700 nt
Filed under: uncultured bacterium
Lineage: Bacteria
Description: bacterial SSU rRNA
Rfam family: Bacterial small subunit ribosomal RNA
Source: RNAcentral
CCUCAAAGAGGGGGACAACAGUUGGAAACGACUGCUAAUACCGCAUAAGCCCACGGGUCGGCAUCGACCAGAGGGAAAAGGAGCAAUCCGCUUUGAGAUGGCCUCGCGUCCGAUUAGCUAGUUGGUGAGGUAAUGGCCCACCAAGGCAACGAUCGGUAGCCGGACUGAGAGGUUGAACGGCCACAUUGGGACUGAGACACGGCCCAGACUCCUACGGGAGGCAGCAGUGGGGAAUAUUGCACAAUGGGGGAAACCCUGAUGCAGCGACGCCGCGUGGAGGAAGAAGGUCUUCGGAUUGUAAACUCCUGUUGUUGAGGAAGAUAAUGACGGUACUCAACAAGGAAGUGACGGCUAACUACGUGCCAGCAGCCGCGGUAAAACGUAGGUCACAAGCGUUGUCCGGAAUUACUGGGUGUAAAGGGAGCGCAGGCGGGAAGACAAGUUGGAAGUGAAAUCCAUGGGCUCAACCCAUGAACUGCUUUCAAAACUGUUUUUCUUGAGUAGUGCAGAGGUAGGCGGAAUUCCCGGUGUAGCGGUGGAAUGCGUAGAUAUCGGGAGGAACACCAGUGGCGAAGGCGGCCUACUGGGCACCAACUGACGCUGAGGCUCGAAAGUGUGGGUAGCAAACAGGAUUAGAUACCCUGGUAGUCCACACCGUAAACGAUGAAUAGUAGGUGUUGGAGGAUUGACCCCUUCAGUG